This 76-nucleotide transfer RNA is filed under the name Erysipelotrichaceae bacterium. RNAcentral's name for it is "tRNA-Arg". It matches the Rfam family "tRNA". From Rfam's summary of the family: Transfer RNA (tRNA) molecules are approximately 80 nucleotides in length. Their secondary structure includes four short double-helical elements and three loops (D, anti-codon, and T loops). Further hydrogen bonds mediate the characteristic L-shaped molecular structure. tRNAs have two regions of fundamental functional importance: the anti-codon, which is responsible for specific mRNA codon recognition, and the 3' end, to which the tRNAs corresponding amino acid is attached (by aminoacyl-tRNA synthetases). tRNAs cope with the degeneracy of the genetic code in two manners: having more than one tRNA (with a specific anti-codon) for a particular amino acid; and 'wobble' base-pairing, i.e. permitting non-standard base-pairing at the 3rd anti-codon position. Lineage: Bacteria; Bacillati; Bacillota; Erysipelotrichia; Erysipelotrichales; Erysipelotrichaceae. The record is from RNAcentral.
GACUCCGUAGCUCAGUGGAUAGAGCAUCCGCCUUCUAAGCGGAUGGUCGGGCGUUCGAAUCGCCCCGGGGUCGCCA